UACGUUAGCGGCGGACGGGUGAGUAACACGUGGGUAACCUACCUAUAAGACUGGGAUAACUUCGGGAAACCGGAGCUAAUACCGGAUAACAUUUGGAACCGCAUGGUUCUAAAGUGAAAGAUGGUUUUGCUAUCACUUAUAGAUGGACCCGCGCCGUAUUAGCUAGUUGGUAAGGUAACGGCUUACCAAGGCAACGAUACGUAGCCGACCUGAGAGGGUGAUCUGCCACACUGGAACUGAUACACGGUCCAG
This 252-nucleotide ribosomal RNA is filed under the name uncultured Staphylococcus sp. Its description in RNAcentral is "partial 16S ribosomal RNA". It matches the Rfam family "Bacterial small subunit ribosomal RNA", at positions 88 to 334 of the family's 1533-position model. Lineage: Bacteria; Bacillati; Bacillota; Bacilli; Caryophanales; Staphylococcaceae. The record is from RNAcentral.